UACGGAGGGUGCAAGCGUUGUCCGGAAUCAUUGGGCGUAAAGCGCACGUAGGCGGCUCUUUAAGUCUCUUGGUGAAAGGCUGGGGCUCAACCCCAUGCAUGCCGGGGAUACUGGGGGGCUUGAGACAGGUAGAGGCCAGCGGAAUUCCGGGUGUAGCGGUGGAAUGCGUAGAGAUCCGGAAGAACACCGGAGGCGAAGGCGGCUGGCUGGACCUGAUCUGACGCUGAGGUGCGAAAGCGUGGGGAGCGAACAGG
This 254-nucleotide ribosomal RNA is filed under the name uncultured bacterium. RNAcentral describes it as "partial 16S ribosomal RNA". It matches the Rfam family "Bacterial small subunit ribosomal RNA", at positions 524 to 776 of the family's 1533-position model. The record is from RNAcentral.